GAUCUCCUGGAUCUUCAACAGAAAUGUCUCAUGCUUCAAGCACAGAAAAGGCAGAGGACUGAUAGCCAGGAGAGCCCAUUGAACAAAUCGAGGUGUCACAAUACCGCCUGUACAGCUUUUACUGAAGUAGGCACUGCCUAGAUUAUUAUGUAAAAGAAUUAAAAGCUACAAGCCUUGGAAUGUACUAUGUAUGGGUACCUGCACUGAACAUGCGCUAUACGCUUAAAUAAUGAGUUUCGACAUAUGGCCUACCGCCCGUCAUGUUAUGCAUGAACAGAGCCUACCUGAACCUGCUGCGAGGAAGGCGA
This is a long non-coding RNA of Mauremys mutica (yellowpond turtle), 308 nucleotides long. RefSeq lists it as uncharacterized. The record is from RefSeq and is a predicted model, not a curated record. NCBI's taxonomy places the organism in Eukaryota, Metazoa, Chordata, Testudines, Geoemydidae. The transcript is spliced from 4 exons.